AUUGAACGCUGGCGGCAUGCCUUACACAUGCAAAUCGAACGGUAACGGGCCUUCGGGUGCCGCCGAGUGGCGAACGGGUGAGUAAUACAUCGGAACGUGCCCGAUCGUGGGGGAUAACGAGGCGAAAGCUUUGCUAAUACCGCAUACGAUCUACGGAUGAAAGCAGGGGACCGCAAGGCCUUGCGCGGACGGAGCGGCCGAUGGCAGAUUAGGUAGUUGGUGGGAUAAAAGCUUACCAAGCCGACGAUCUGUAGCUGGUCUGAGAGGAUGAUCAGCCACACUGGGACUGAGACACGGCCCAGACUCCUACGGGAGGCAGCAGUGGGGAAUUUUGGACAAUGGGCGCAAGCCUGAUCCAGCCAUGCCGCGUGCAGGAUGAAGGCCUUCGGGUUGUAAACUGAUUUUGUACGGAACGAAAAGCCUUCUUUUAAUACAGGAGGGUCAUGACGGUACCGUAAGAAUAAGCACCGGCUAACUACGUG
This 482-nucleotide ribosomal RNA is filed under the name uncultured bacterium. RNAcentral describes it as "partial 16S ribosomal RNA". It matches the Rfam family "Bacterial small subunit ribosomal RNA", at positions 30 to 507 of the family's 1533-position model. The record is from RNAcentral.